AGGAUAUCAUCUGUAUGGUGACAGAUGAUAGCUGAAGGGUGGAGUUUUCGAACAGGGUGUAUGAUGUUGGCUACCACUGUUUGACAAAUCAUCAGGCUAUUUUUCAUGCCCUGAGGCAGUACUAUCCAGUGGUAUCUUUGCAUGGUUGUGUUUUGAGUGGAUUUAGAG
This is a long non-coding RNA of Chiroxiphia lanceolata (lance-tailed manakin), 168 nucleotides long. RefSeq lists it as uncharacterized. NCBI's taxonomy places the organism in Eukaryota, Metazoa, Chordata, Aves, Passeriformes, Pipridae. The record is from RefSeq and is a predicted model, not a curated record. The transcript has 4 exons.